RNAcentral lists this ribosomal RNA (334 nucleotides) under Salmonella enterica subsp. enterica serovar Heidelberg. RNAcentral describes it as "bacterial SSU rRNA". It matches the Rfam family "Bacterial small subunit ribosomal RNA", at positions 637 to 970 of the family's 1533-position model. The record is from RNAcentral. RNAcentral also lists the same sequence under 2 other names. Lineage: Bacteria; Pseudomonadati; Pseudomonadota; Gammaproteobacteria; Enterobacterales; Enterobacteriaceae.
CAGGCUUGAGUCUUGUAGAGGGGGGUAGAAUUCCAGGUGUAGCGGUGAAAUGCGUAGAGAUCUGGAGGAAUACCGGUGGCGAAGGCGGCCCCCUGGACAAAGACUGACGCUCAGGUGCGAAAGCGUGGGGAGCAAACAGGAUUAGAUACCCUGGUAGUCCACGCCGUAAACGAUGUCUACUUGGAGGUUGUGCCCUUGAGGCGUGGCUUCCGGAGCUAACGCGUUAAGUAGACCGCCUGGGGAGUACGGCCGCAAGGUUAAAACUCAAAUGAAUUGACGGGGGCCCGCACAAGCGGUGGAGCAUGUGGUUUAAUUCGAUGCAACGCGAAGAACC